UGUGUGUCAGUGGAACGGUCUGGAAAGGCCGGCGAUACAGGGUGACAGCCCCGUACACGAAGGCACACAGGCUGUGAGCUCGAUGAGUAGGGCGGGACACGUGAUAUCCUGUCUGAAGAUGGGGGGACCAUCCUCCAAGGCUAAAUACUCCUGACUGACCGAUAGUGAACCAGUACCGUGAGGGAAAGGCGAAAAGAACCCCGGCGAGGGGAGUGAAACAGAACCUGAAACCGUGUACGUACAAGCAGUGGGAGCCUUCGUAAGAGGGUGACUGCGUACCUUUUGUAUAAUGGGUCAGCGACUUAUAUUCUGUAGCAAGGUUAACCGUAUAGGGGAGCCGAAGGGAAACCGAGUCUUAACCGGGCGUUAAGUUGCAGGGUAUAGACCCGAAACCCGGUGAUCUAGCCAUGGGCAGGUUGAAGGUUGGGUAACACUAACUGGAGGACCGAACCGACUAAUGUUGAAAAAUUAGCGGAUGACCUGUGGCUGGGGGUGAAAGGCCAAUCAAACCGGGAGAUAGCUGGUUCUCCCCGAAAGCUAUUUAGGUAGCGCCUCGUGAAUUCAUCUCCGGGGGUAGAGCACUGUUUCGGCUAGGGGGCCAUCCCGG
This 607-nucleotide ribosomal RNA is filed under the name Cronobacter sakazakii. RNAcentral's name for it is "partial 23S ribosomal RNA". It matches the Rfam family "Bacterial large subunit ribosomal RNA", at positions 323 to 934 of the family's 2925-position model. Lineage: Bacteria; Pseudomonadati; Pseudomonadota; Gammaproteobacteria; Enterobacterales; Enterobacteriaceae. The record is from RNAcentral.